Molecule: ribosomal RNA, 506 nt
Filed under: uncultured bacterium
Lineage: Bacteria
Description: partial 16S ribosomal RNA
Rfam family: Bacterial small subunit ribosomal RNA
Source: RNAcentral
GAUGAACGCUAGCUACAGGCUUAACACAUGCAAGUCGAGGGGUAACAAGAGGAAAGCUUGCUUUCCUUGUUGACGACCGGCGCACGGGUGAGUAACGCGUAUCCAACCUGCCUAUAACUAGGGAAUAACCUUGCGAAAGUAAGACUAAUACCCUAUGAUUUCCUUUGAUGACAUCAGAUUAGGAAUAAAGAUUUAUCGGUUAUAGAUGGGGAUGCGUCUGAUUAGCUUGUUGGCGGGGUAACGGCCCACCAGGGCAACGAUCAGUAGGGGUUCUGAGAGGAAGGUCCCCCACAUUGGAACUGAGACACGGUCCAAACUCCUACGGGAGGCAGCAGUGAGGAAUAUUGGUCAAUGGGCGGAAGCCUGAACCAGCCAAGUAGCGUGCAGGAUGACGGCCCUAUGGGUUGUAAACUGCUUUUAUACAGGAAUAAAGUCAGCCACGUGUGGUUAUUUGUAGGUACUGUAUGAAUAAGGACCGGCUAAUUCCGUGCCAGCAGCCGCCGUAA